GUGUGUAGACUCUUCACUAGUCGCUUCGUGGCUAUUUUUGCGGAAAAUGCCUUCGCCAGGGUGUAAAACGGAAACGCGCGGACGGGAAGGGGGUCGUAAUGCCGUAUUUUUCUUCACAUCUUCGAACAAAACCGCACUACCUAAGCCACAAUACUGAAAAUGGCUAAUGUUCUCCAACAGUGUCGUCACUCAUCAUUGUUGAGUAUGGAGUAUGGAAAGAGAGAUACUUGAACAUGUUGGAAUGUCACCUUGAGGACCAAGAUAUGGGGAGAAUAAUGCUUGAAUGGUGCACAGAUGAGUCUUUUCAACUCUGGUAUGCUUCUCCAAGAAAACGGCCAUGCACAUCACCAGAAUGCUAGAACAGGAUCAGGGAGUGAAUAUCUGAGGAAGGGUUCUUUUCCAGUACUUUGAUACAAUUGUCUUCACUUCAUUUUUUUGCUGUUGGUAUCCUUUGCUCUUCUUUUUUGAUGAAUUCCUGCCUGCAUUCUCUCGUCAAUCAAUCAAGAUAGCGUGCUAUUUCGCAUUCCAUUGGCCAUGUCAUAAUCUACGCAUGAACAUGGACACUGAGUUAAAACUAGUAGCUUGCUCAAUCCCGUACAUCUCUUGACUGUCACCAGCUAGUUAUUCCUAGAAGUUUGAAAGCUACUGUACCACAGCCAAUUUGAAUAGCACCAUCUCAAGACAUAAACUCCUGUACCUUGUAACACCAGGAUGUAAUAAAUUGACAGGUUUAUGACUUAUUUGCAAAGAAAAUAAUAUUUUCUUUGUUGUUGGGGUGUUUCCAUGCAUUCCUGUAUUUCAAUAGUGAUCUAAUGACCAUCUUGCUUUUUAAAACCCAAAUUCGCAAUAUUUUUCUUGUUUGAUGAAAGGUUAGGUACUUCUGGGUGGAUAUAAAUGACACACAUGUUGGGCUAAUAAGCAACGGUUGUAUCAUACUUAACUCAGUUUUGCCAAGAGAUGGACUGACUUUAGGUCAUUCUUAUUAUUCAAGUCUAUUGUCUCACUUAUCUUGUUUAAAAAUUAAGAAUCGAUGCUUAACCCUAAAUAGACUGGGCUAUUUUGAUGCCUAAGAAGACCUGGGGGAGGGGGGGGGGGUUGGGGGCUGAUUCAGCCCCCCCCCCUUUUGAUCUCGGCCGUUUAUCGCGCAAUCGCGACGAAAAUUGGCACUCGCUUUACCCAUGGCAUUAUCCACAAAACUGUAAUAUCAAAUUCUGCGAAAAAUCUCAUUGCUCAUUGAUUAUGUUAAUUUAUGCGUAAAAUCAUAAGUUUGCUCUAAUUAAGAAAAUAAUGACGAAAAUUGGCACUCGCUUUACCCAUGGCAUUAUCCACAAAACUGUAAUAUCAAAUUCUGCGAAAAAUCUCAUUGCUCAUUGAUUAUGUUAAUUUAUGCGUAAAAUCAUAAGUUUGCUCUAAUUAAGAAAAUAAUGCCCCUAAAAUGCUAAUUUUUGUUUCACAUACUCUUUAUAGGCAUCUGAUAAAAUUUAUUUCAAAAAAAUUUCAACAUCACAUUUAUUUUUGUAUGUAUUUUAUUGUUUUCUAAAUUUCUUAUUUAUUUCUUUGUUUUUCGACUUUUUGAUUUUUGUUGUUUUUUCAAUGGAAAUUGUCAGAGACUUUAUUUUGACCAUAAACAAGAUAAGAUUAAUUGAUUCUAAGCAGUAAAAGGAAAAAUAUGAUACAUUUUAUGAAUUUUGGCUAAAAACACUAUUUGCAUUGGAUUUGUACACAAAUUCACAUUUUUGAGCAAUUUUGGGUCUGCAUGCAAUUACAAAAUGUUGUGUUAUUUCGGAACCGCUUACCCGUGGGUCACAAUUUUGGUCUCAAAAGUUGCGCGAGACUAGAAAGUAAAAAGUCAGCGAGUGACGCGGUAAAAAAAAAUCGUGCGGCGGAUUUAUCACGAAAAAUGUUGAGGGGGGGCUGAAUCAGCCCCCCCGUCUUCUUAGGGUUAAAUCCUCAUGAUUUCAAUUUUAAGACCAGUUUAUUCAUAAAAUAGUCAUUUGCCCUGGCAUAUGCAGCUCCCUAAUGUGUCAAAUUUAAAUCAUAUAAUUUCAUUUUGGUGAAUUGGUAUCCUUUUACUUUCCAGCUUUUCAUAGGCACAUCAGUACACUGAAAUGAGCACUAUAUGAAUGCAAACUACCAGUAAUAUUAUCAAUUUAAUAUUACUAUUAUGAUUGAAUCAUCCUUCUUUAGUGUUUUGCAGAAAUAUAUUUGAUAAAUGUAGACAGUAAAUUUAAUCUUUGUAUCAUAUAAAUGAGUUUUGAUCUAAUUAAAAAAACGACAAUGUACUGAAUAAACUAAUCUAUCUACUAUAAAUGUACAUACGUUUUGUUUAUAUAUAUUGUAAUUCAGGUGUGUUAUCAGCAGAAAAUAUGAUUUUUUUUCUCUCUCUCUCCAUGUGCUUGUGUUCAUAGUUAUUACAGGAGGC
This is a long non-coding RNA of Lytechinus pictus (painted urchin), 2422 nucleotides long. RefSeq lists it as uncharacterized. Lineage: Eukaryota; Metazoa; Echinodermata; Echinoidea; Temnopleuroida; Toxopneustidae. The record is from RefSeq and is a predicted model, not a curated record. The transcript has 4 exons.